This 253-nucleotide ribosomal RNA is filed under the name uncultured bacterium. RNAcentral describes it as "partial 16S ribosomal RNA". It matches the Rfam family "Bacterial small subunit ribosomal RNA", at positions 524 to 776 of the family's 1533-position model. The record is from RNAcentral.
UACGUAGGGAGCAAGCGUUGUCCGGAUUUACUGGGCGUAAAGAGCGUGUAGGCGGCCAAACAGGUCCGUUGUGAAAACUGGAGGCUUAACCUCCAGACGUCGACGGAAACCGUAUGGCUAGAGUCCGGAAGAGGAGAGUGGAAUUCCUGGUGUAGCGGUGAAAUGCGCAGAUAUCAGGAAGAACACCAAUGGCGAAAGCAGCUCUCUGGGACGGUACUGACGCUGAGACGCGAAAGCGUGGGGAGCGAACAGG